AUGAAAUUAGAAUUGCAUGAACAAGUUUAGUAAGGAUUGUUGAGUCAGUGAUAUGAUUUUCUUAACAUGAUUUAAAUCUUCAUCUGUUUGACACUGAUAUUAUAAGGAUAGCACAUUUUGAAAAAUGACCAUGUUGGCUAUGAUAGUUUAAAUGGAUAGAUAAUAGAGUUCUAAAGGAUGAAUGCUAGUGAAAUGAAGGAACAAGUUAAAUUGCUAGUGAAGACUGAAUUUUGAUAUGAACUCAAGUUUGGGGGAAAAAUAUUUGGAGUAUAUAAGCUUUGAAAAAAAAAAAGAAUAAACACCGUGGCAUGCUUGUCUAGUUUUGUGGCCUUUGUUACUUGAGUAAGUAAGCCCGAGGGGAUUGUCUCUACACCUAGCGCCCUAAGGUCUUAAUGGCUUAGGAGUCGUUGGUCGAAAGCUCGUUAAGGUAGCAUUGAAAAGCCUGAGGGAAUAAGACAAUGCAUAGUCAUGAGAGGAAAAAAAAUGAUGAAAGAAAAAUAUAUAUAUAUAAUAAAGCGGGAAAAGUGCAAAAAGCCCCCGUAAUAAAAAAAAGCAUAAGUAUUCCAUGUUGACCCCUGGAUUUUGGUGAUUGUUCAAUUUCAGUUGAAUCAAGUUUAUUUGAUGAGUUCUCGAGUUAAAACUGUAUGAUGACUAUUAAGAACUUUAUUAUCUCUCAUAUUUUGCUGCUCAUUGGUUAGCAUGGUUGUUGAACACACACUCACAAUAUCAGUAAUAACAGAUUUAGAUUCAUUGAUUGUUGGGAUAUUAUUGAACUGCAGUAACAUGAUGUAUUAGCAUGUUUUGUGAUUAUUCUGAGGCC
Molecule: long non-coding RNA, 820 nt
Filed under: Panax ginseng (ginseng)
Lineage: Eukaryota; Viridiplantae; Streptophyta; Magnoliopsida; Apiales; Araliaceae
Description: long non-coding RNA (PGIN_LNC008151)
Source: RNAcentral